Molecule: long non-coding RNA, 1410 nt
Filed under: Nicotiana tabacum (common tobacco)
Lineage: Eukaryota; Viridiplantae; Streptophyta; Magnoliopsida; Solanales; Solanaceae
Description: long non-coding RNA (NTAB_LNC017128)
Source: RNAcentral
AAAUAUGCUUUGGUAAGAAAGUUUCUGUAAGUAAGACACUUACGUUGAAAAGUCUCAAAACAUGAUUUUACAAGUGAAUUUCGUUUCAUAUAUCUCGCUUCAUAAGACUCUCCUACAAAGUGAGAUACUUUGAUGUGAUUUUGCUCAUCAAGAAUGUCAUAUGAAAUUAUACCGCAUAAUAGUAACGUAAAAUUUUGCGGUUCUAAAGGAGUACGGUGCAAUAUUUUUCAAGAACAUCAUCCUAAUUUUUCCCUACUCUAGGUAUGUUAAGGCUAUCCCUUCUUUCAUUUUGGCAUGAUCUAUAUGACACGAAUGAAAUGAGCAAAUGCACAAUUUCCAUAAAUGACUCUAUUCAUAAAAAUAUUAGGGGUGUCUAUAUUCUUGAUUCUCCAUCUGAAUUAUUAUUAUAUUUUCUGUUCAUGGGUCUCAUAAAAAUACGUAUUUGAUAAAAUUUAUCCGACAAGCAUAUUAUUUUUAUGACAUUCCGAGAAAAUCUUAUUAACGUAUUUCUUAAGGCAUAUUAUUUUUAUGACCUUCCGAGAAAAUAUUAUUAACGUAUUUCUUAUGCAUUUCAUGCAUUCAUACAUAUAUAUUGAACCAUGACCAGAUGGCGUUAUAUACGUGUAUAUAUAUAUAUAUGGAAUAUGGGAAAAGGUUAUGGCGUUAUAUACGCACCACCACCUGAUCAGCUGGUAUACGUUGAUGAUUUGCCCACAAUGACCGAAAUGAUAUGAUGGGAUUCCCCCAGUGGCUUGAUGAUGUUAUGAACACAUUUAUCUAUGCAUGGUAUGACAUUUAUACGCAUAUGCAUGACAUUAUAAAAAUAAAAUGAUUCACAGAGCUAUGCAGACGUACAUGUCGAGUCUUUUACUCCAUGUUUCUCUCAUAUCUAUUAUUUACUAUUUUUCAUUCUUUACGUACUCGGUACAUUAUUUGUACUGACGUCCCUUUUACCUAGGGAUGCUGCGUUUCAUGCCCGCAGGUCUCAAUAGGCAGGUCGAGAGCCCUCCAAGUAGGCGAUCAGCUCAGCGAAAAAAUGUGGGUGCACUCCAUUUGCUCCGGAGUUGCUUGUUUGGUCAGUAUGAUUUAAAUGUGUAUUGUUUGGUAUGGCGGGGGUCUGUCCCGACCUUUAUGAUAAUUAUAUAUUCUUAGAGGCUUAUAGACAGAUGUCAUGUAUAUGUAAGAUUGUACGGCUUUGUCGGCCUAUGUUUUGAAUUUAUUAAUGAUCAUAUUGGCCUAUUAGGCCCGUAUGUCACGUGUAUAUGAUGAUGUAAUAAGAAAGAUACGUUAGGUUGGUACUCGGUUGAGUAAGGCACUGGGUGCCCGUCGCGGACCAUUGGUUUGGGCCGUGACAAAAGUGAUAUCGGAGCAGUUCUGUCCUAGUAAGUCUACAAACCGUGUCUAGUAGAG